GGGUCAGUAGGUUGGUCGUGCCACCGGUACGUACUGGUCUCACUGAUUCCUCCUUCCUGAAGAACCGUAAUGCCAUUAAUUUGGUGUUGCGGGGAAACAGGACUGUUACUUUGAAAAAAUUAGAGUGCUUAAAGCAAGCUAACGCUUGAAUACAUUAGCAUGGAAUAAUGAAAUAGGGCGAUCGAUCCUAUUUUGUUGGUUUCUAGGAUUGACGUA
This 216-nucleotide ribosomal RNA is filed under the name Glomeromycotina sp. Its description in RNAcentral is "partial small subunit ribosomal RNA". The stretch from base 40 to 216 matches the Rfam family "Eukaryotic small subunit ribosomal RNA", at positions 686 to 864 of the family's 1831-position model. The record is from RNAcentral. Lineage: Eukaryota; Fungi; Glomeromycota.